Molecule: ribosomal RNA, 422 nt
Filed under: uncultured bacterium
Lineage: Bacteria
Description: bacterial SSU rRNA
Rfam family: Bacterial small subunit ribosomal RNA
Source: RNAcentral
UGAGGAAUAUUGGUCAAUGGGGGCAACCCUGAACCAGCCAAGUCGCGUGAAGGAUGAAGGUCUUAUGGAUUGUAAACUUCUUUUAUACAGGAAUAAAUUGGGGGACGUGUCCCCUUUUGCAUGUACUGUAUGAAUAAGGAUCGGCUAACUCCGUGCCAGCAGCCGCGGUAAUACGGAGGAUCCGAGCGUUAUCCGGAUUUAUUGGGUUUAAAGGGUGCGCAGGCGGGAUGUUAAGUCGGCGGUGAAAUUUUGCAGCUCAACUGUAAAAGUGCCUUCGAUACUGGCCUCCUUGAGUGUGGAUGAAGUAGGCGGAAUUUGUGGUGUAGCGGUGAAAUGCUUAGAUAUCACGAAGAACUCCGAUUGCGAAGGCAGCUUACCGGGGUACAACUGACGCUGAUGCACGAAAGUGUGGGUAUCAAACA